RNA transcript from Mus musculus (house mouse), 3333 nucleotides. It is a transcript of the gene named vesicular, overexpressed in cancer, prosurvival protein 1, with no coding region annotated. The transcript is spliced from 8 exons. Lineage: Eukaryota; Metazoa; Chordata; Mammalia; Rodentia; Muridae. The record is from RefSeq and is marked validated.
GGCACGUCCUCGAGCUCCGCCGGCUUGCCGCGCGUCCUUCUGCCGGCUUCAGCUCGUAUCCCCGGAGUCCACCCGCCCGUCCCGGGGUGCGGACUGGCCCUGAGCUGGCCGUACAGCCCGGCUUCGGACGGUCCUCGCUGGAGCCAUGGGCCGCCGGCUCGGCAGGGUGGCGGCGCUGCUGCUCGGGCUGCUAGUGGAGGGGGUUACAACUAAGAGAUUGCCUUGAGUCUCAGGAAAGACUUCAGCUUUGGACUUUUAAACUGUGUUGAGACUAUGAAAGACUGCUCAGCACCAUGCCUACCUGCCUGCUGCCUGCUCCCUGCCAUGAUGGUCAUGGACUCUAAACCUCUGCAGCUACACUUGCCCUUUGCUUUUGUGUUCGUGGUCAAUGUUCAGUACACCAGGACCAAGAUUGCCCUGCUGUUUACUGUUAGCUGGUGUAUCCCUGCUCCUGUCCAUCACCAUCACCUGCCCUGAGAGAGGGGUGAAUGACUAGAAUCAUUGCUACCUUUUCUAUCCCAUGUCUGGAUAUAACAGGAGAAAGGGUGCUGACUAUGAAGAUUUCUUGAGUAGAACGCAGGAUCUUGCUCUGUGGAGGGCAUCAGAGGGAGAACUGAAGGCAUCCUGGGUCUGGCCACAGUUGGUGUGCACUGAGGCCAAAAAACAUUGCUGGUAUUUUGAAGGACUCUAUCCCACAUACUAUAUAUGCCGUUCCUAUGAAGACUGCUGUGGCUCCAGGUGCUGUGUGAGGGCCCUUUCCAUACAGAGGCUGUGGUAUUUUUGGUUCCUGCUGAUGAUGGGUGUGCUGUUCUGCUGUGGUGCCGGUUUCUUCAUUCGCCGGCGCAUGUAUCCGCCACCACUCAUUGAGGAGCCCACAUUCAAUGUGUCCUAUACCAGGCAGCCACCAAAUCCUGCUCCAGGAGCACAGCAAAUGGGACCGCCAUAUUACACCGACCCUGGAGGACCCGGGAUGAAUCCUGUUGGCAAUACCAUGGCUAUGGCUUUCCAGGUCCAGCCCAAUUCACCUCACGGAGGCACAACUUACCCACCCCCUCCUUCCUACUGCAACACGCCUCCACCCCCCUAUGAACAGGUGGUGAAGGACAAGUAGCAAGAUGCUACAUCAAAGGCAAAGAGGAUGGACAGGCCCUUUUGUUUACCUUCCCAUCCUCACCGAUACUUGCUGAUAGGGUGGUCCAAGGGAAAACUUGGAUAUUCUCAAAGCAAGCCCAGCUCUCUUUCAAGUCUUUUGUGGAGGACAUUUGAAUCCACACUGUCUCCUCUGUUGCUUCUGUUUCUGAUGUAGUCUGUGCUCUCUGAGAGAGUGUGGCAACAGUCCCUGAGGGUUGAUAUUCCUAGGGUGUCCAGGGUAGAUCCUCGGGAGAGAGGCUAAGGGGAAAGGAAGGCAUAGCCUGUGUGUUAGGGGGCAGAUAAAGUGGUCAGGCUGAGAUAAGACUCACAUGAUGCAGUAGUUGGCAGUGAACUUCGAAGAGACACUAUCCACCAUCCCAGCCCAUUCUCCUAAUAGAAGCUGUGGGGCUGUGUUGUUGAUGCUCUUUGGUCUCCACUCACAUUUUGAAAAUAGGCUUUCCUCUGCAGGAAUAGGAAAGACCCAAGUACAUAUUUGCUUCCACUUAAAAAUGAGGGUCAGAACCAGGCCUCAGUUGGACAUCUAUAGUUAAAUAAAGGCCAUUAGAGAGGGGAAAUCUUUAAGUUAGGGGAAAUUCUCUAAAUGGAGACAUUGCGUUUUAUGAAUCAUCGUCUGGCUUUUCUUUUAGUGCAUGUAUUGAAGUGAGGGUGUCCUUUGAGAUCAGAUGGGGAGAGUGAACUCUGCGGGGGGUGGGGUGUCUCUACUCAGAGGGCUCCAACACCCUUUUCUUAGGUAGUUCUGGUGAUGGGUUUUAUGGGCACUAUAGAGCUGAGGGGCACAUUAGGCCGGGUAGUUACAUUGACCCUUGGAGAGGAAGAGGACAGCCAAAGAAACUCAGCAAAGCAAGACCAGCAUUGCUGAGUUAGAGCUAGGGUUGUAUGUGAUCCCAACAGAGAUGUGCUGGCCUCAGAAGAGGGGACGUUUGUGGAUAGAGCCGUGAAAACCUACUUAGUUGCACAGAUGACAUAAUCAAAAGUAGAGAAAGAAGUGUAGUUAGAGAUGCCAUUUCCCAGGUGAGAAUCAGAGCUCAUCCAUAGAUUUACAAGUAGUGGCUGGAGUUAACAGUAUGGAGUUCUUUUCCCUUGCGUAGUUAGUCACGUUGAUGUGUAUUUAAACCCAGGUUGAGACCUUGUGUACUAAGAGCAAGGAAGUAUAGCUAAGAUGUCUAGAUUAUUUAUAUGUAGUAUGGUGGGGAGUGGGGCUGCAAGGAAGGGGGCUGACAUUGUAAAUGAGAAAAUCAGAGCCAUUUGAUAAACUGUUACUUGUUGGAUCAGGCAUCCAAAAGUGUCUCUUGAGUGGACAUUGAGUAUUCUUUACCACCUACAAGACCAGGAGGCAUGGUGUCAUUCUCCAUUGGGGUAUUUAUAUGAGGUAGAGGUUCAGGAAUCGACAGUAGCUGUGUGGGCUUAGUUUAAGGACUGAAAGCAUAGGGACUGGUAGACAGUUUCAUAGGAAACUGCGGGGAAGGAAUGGAUACCUUUAAAGACAGUUUGUGGAUGCAGAUGCUGCCACCCAUCAUUGAGCACCCUUGUGUCUCUGGCUUCCUGUCACUGGAUCCAGUACCCCUCCAUGCUUGGGUCCUUGUUUUACAUAAGACAACAAAGCACAAUGUCUGCUGUUUACAAUCAAGACGACUACAUGGUCCAAACAUUUCUUCUCUCUUCUAUCACUUGUGGCUUUAACUUCCAUUUCCUCCGUUCCUUUUUAAAAUCAAGAAGCACAGUCAGAGCUGCCCCUGGGAUUGCAUCAGGGAACGGCUGAUCAAGGCAUUCAGUGUCCAUGACUAAAUCUUAUCUUUUUGAUAGCAAAUCCUUUUAAGAAACUGAACAAUUGCUAAGGCUCAGCAAUUUUAUACUCCAAUGUCUGUGUAAGGUAAAUUUUGUUUGCCAUUGAGCCCACAUUGGAAUUCCUUCUGACGUCAACACUGACAAUGCCUAUGGAAAUUGCACUUCUGGGUAUAUGUCCCAGCAUCCUUGUUUUCUUAUGUUUGGUGAGUAAGGCUCACCCCUUCCAGCAGCUCUACUUCUGUGUGCUGAGGUCCUGUAGAGCCGGGGCUUGGGCACAGACAUGAGGCAGACUUGUGCAUGCUCUUUCUUGGCAACACUUGGCUCAUAUUUCUUGUUCUCUUUUGAUAGAGUCCUGUUUCCUAUGUAUUUAAAAAAUAAUAAAAGUGAAUUUAGUCA